CUACGGGGUGCAGCAGUAAAGAAUCUUCCGCAAUGGGCGAAAGCCUGACGGAGCAACACUGCGUGGUGGAUGACGGCCUUCGGGUUGUAAACACCUUUUCUAGGGGAAGAAGUUCUGACGGUACCCUAGGAAUAAGCGACGGCUAAUUACGUGCCAGCAGCCGCGGUAAUACGUAAGUCGCAAGCGUUAUCCGAAAUCAUUGGGCGUAAAGCGUCCGUAGGCGUCUCGAUUAGUCUGAUGUAAAAUCUCUCCGCUCAACGGAGAGCUCGUAUUGGAAACUAUCGGGAUUGAGGUAUGCAGGGGCAGAUGGAAUUCCAGAAGUAGGGGUAAAAUCCGUAGAUCUCUGGAGGAACACCAAACGCGAAGGUAUUCUGCUGGGCAUUACCUGACGCUAAGGGACGAAAGCGUGGGGAGCAAAGGGGAUUAGAUACCCGGGUAGUC
Molecule: ribosomal RNA, 441 nt
Filed under: uncultured bacterium
Lineage: Bacteria
Description: partial 16S ribosomal RNA
Rfam family: Bacterial small subunit ribosomal RNA
Source: RNAcentral